CGCAGCCACCGACCUGAUGACACUGAUGUGGAACUGGUCCUCGCGAAGGCCCCGCCAGGCACCGGGCAGAAACUCCUUGCACCACAGGUGGCCUAGGCAGCUACAAGAUGAAAGGGAUGAGCAUCAUGAUGAGGAACCUCAUGGAGUCACCACGUGGAGGAGAGUUGCACCAGCUGACCCAUCCCCACCGACACAGGAUUCUUUCCUCUGCCACGCCCACCUCCCGUGGUGAUGAACGUGGUGAACUGUCUGCUUUCUUCUCUGCCUUCAACUGAAGAAGACAGGAAACAGAAAAUGGCUAGGCAGUCUACAGACAGGGACCCUGAAAGUGAGCGGUUUUGUUCUUGACCUUAGGGAAAAAGCAGGAAAUGUCCUUAUUUCUCUGGCCAGGAAUGCUAAAAGGAAGCCCUGGUUGCUCAACUAAGUGAGUAUUCUGCCUGGAGGCUUUAAACAAAAGGUGUGAUUCAAAGUGCAGUCCCUGGGUGUACAGCUUCGGAAUUGAGUCUCUAAAUUGUCGUGGUGGAAAUAGAUUAUAUAUUUUCCCCAACUUCAGCCCAUCUCCUAAGGUCUCUUCUCUAGGGGAGGGGGUGUUGUUAGUCUUGGAGAUCACUGACAAUGAAUA
Molecule: long non-coding RNA, 622 nt
Organism: Onychomys torridus (southern grasshopper mouse)
Lineage: Eukaryota; Metazoa; Chordata; Mammalia; Rodentia; Cricetidae
Exons: 3
Source: RefSeq, a predicted model, not a curated record